UGGGGAAUUUUGGACAAUGGGCGAAAGCCUGAUCCAGCAAUGCCGCGUGUGUGAAGAAGGCCUUCGGGUUGUAAAGCACUUUUGUCCGGAAAGAAAUCCUUGGCUCUAAUACAGUCGGGGGAUGACGGUACCGGAAGAAUAAGCACCGGCUAACUACGUGCCAGCAGCCGCGGUAAUACGUAGGGUGCAAGCGUUAAUCGGAAUUACUGGGCGUAAAGCGUGCGCAGGCGGUUUGCUAAGACCGAUGUGAAAUCCCCGGGCUCAACCUGGGAACUGCAUUGGUGACUGGCAGGCUAGAGCAUGGCAGAGGGGGGUAGAAUUCCACGUGUAGCAGUGAAAUGCGUAGAGAUGUGGAGGAAUACCGAUGGCGAAGGCAGCCCCCUGGGCCAAUACUGACGCUCAUGCACGAAAGCGUGGGGAGCAAACAGGAUUAGAUACCCUGGUAGUCCACGCCCUAAACGAUGUCAACUAGUUGUUGGGGAUUCAUUUCCUAGUAACGUAGCUACGCGUGAAGUUGACCGCCUGGGGAGUACGG
Molecule: ribosomal RNA, 535 nt
Filed under: uncultured bacterium
Lineage: Bacteria
Description: partial 16S ribosomal RNA
Rfam family: Bacterial small subunit ribosomal RNA
Source: RNAcentral